Molecule: long non-coding RNA, 2673 nt
Organism: Onychostoma macrolepis
Lineage: Eukaryota; Metazoa; Chordata; Actinopteri; Cypriniformes; Cyprinidae
Exons: 6
Source: RefSeq, a predicted model, not a curated record
CAGAAGGCGGUUGAGCGGAAGUUCCCGCGCUAUUCCUCCAGGUGGCGCCAACGGCAAACGCAUCGCCGUGGAAACAAGAAAGAGCGGGAAAAUUCUUUUUGUGGUGAAAAUCAUCAUCUUCCUCCAGACUGAGAGGGAUCAGUGACCCGCCUAUAAACAUGCGCUGAAUUCAUCAUGCAUUAUGUGAGAAAUACUGAACUACUGAAUCGAGUAAAUUAGAGAGAGGACGAGAUCUGCAUAGACUGAUCACAGAAAGCAGCAGAAGAAAGACACAGUGCCGUCUGUUUGCCUGAACGCUUUCAUCGACCAAAGGCCCAACCGGAGCAUUUUUACGCAGGAAUUCCUGCUGAAUGGACGGCUGGAUCAGAGGCGCUAGUGUUGGGCUCUAAAUCUGACCGAGUUCCUUUGAAAACUUCAGCUUCAGGCAACAAAGCCAGGAGCGCGGUCAGAUUGAAGGUCAUUAGCUCAGUGUGCCACUGGACACAGUGUGUAUAUACGGAGUACCAGCAGCACUAACUCUUCCUUUCCUCGGCCUUGAUUGUGGUUCCUGGUUUCUCAUGAGGGCCGUUCCCACACCUCCUCAUUCAACUAACUGAGCUUGUUUGUUUUCUGCAUCGCUCCGGGACGAGUUUGGACACGGGUAUCCUUUCAUCCACCUGCCGUGUGAGCUGAUAAUGUUUAUAGUGUUAAAUGCAGUAUUCCCUGCUGAAAACAUUAACAUAUGUUGUGUUAUGCAUGCAUCUCCACCAGGCUGCUUAAUUGGUUUAACCAGCUUCUCCAUAAAGAGUUGACCUCCUUCACCGCCUCAACCAGAAAGGGACAGUUCCCCCAAAAAUGUCAUUCUGUCAUCAUUUACUCACCCUCAUGUCAUGCACCUAAUGAUGCAUAUUAAAGGUGCGGUCACAUUUGUGUGCAAAAAUUGCCUAUAGUGAUUCAUAAAGCACAGCUCACGCAAAAGCAGCUUUCUUGUGGGUCAAUGCAUCAAAUAUGCAACUUGAAUCUGCACAGAAACCGCACACAAAAUUCCCAAUUGCAUGGAUUCCUACUGAAAAUUCACAGAACAUCGAUACUGUAAAUGUGAAUGUGAAUCUAAACAAGCAUGAAUUAAACCUUAAUUUUUAAAGGAAUAAUCACACAACAUUUUUUUGCCAAAAAAAUAAAAUGAGUUUAAUUUUAAUGAAUGAAAAGGUAACAUAAAUGAAUGUUUUAUACCUUAAAUUAAUGUUUUAUAACCAGAAAAAAUUUAAAUACACAAUUCCAGAAUUUCUGAGGAAAAAAAAUAUGCAUAAGGCUAGAAUAAAUGAAACUUGUUUUUAUGCAUUCAAAUAUUUUGACAUGCUAAAAUACAGAAUUUGGUAACAAUGCAACAUUUCAUAGGGCCCGAAACAUGUUAAUCUUUUAAUAAAUUCAUGUUAAAUUGUUAAAGUUUCAUGAUUUUAAUUAAUUAAUAUUGAUUUUAAUAGUCCAAAAAAAAAAAAAAAAAAUUUGGAACGGUUUUCUAUGAUACUUUUAUGAUCAGGUAAAGAUCAGCAUGAAUGUCAUAUUGUUCCAGAGAAGACAGAAACAGCGUCAUACGGGUUUGGAGCCACAUGAUGUGAGUAAAUGAUGACUUUUCUUUGUUAUUACCUCAGGCUUCACACAUCAGCAUCACAUAAAUCUCCUCCAGAAUCCCACACCUGAUGCAUUCCUGCAGUCUUAUCUUCAUCCGUUGCCAGGACAGACUCACUGCAAAAAAUGGUUUCCUUCCUUCCAAGAAUCUAAGAAUUCUUGAAUCAGGAUGCAUUUACUUGACAAAUAAAAUGACUAAAGAUAUUUUGUCUUGUUUUCUUAAAAUGAAGAGUUCAUUUGCAAACUUUUUUUUUUUUCAUUGUGCAUUCCAAUUAAUCUCAAUCAAACUGCAGCUGGGUUAUUUUGAUUAGGUACAAAAUACAGCUAACUAACACAAUAUAAACAAGAUAGCGUAAUACAAAACAUGAUUUUUGAAAAAUUAAAAAAACAGAGUUAUCUGUUUUUGCAAAUAAAUCUUCAAAUAUUAUCAAAAUGUUGUUAGUUUUUGAAAAAAAAAAAAUUUCUUACCCCGUUGGCAGAUAUUUUUACUUGUUUUAAGCAAAAACUAAAUGUAUAACAAAUUUUUUGUAUAAAAAAGUCAUUUUACUUGUCAAGCAUCCUGAGUCAAGAAUUUUAACAAGACAAAAAUGCUAAGGAAGAAAAUCAUUUUUUGGCACUCGUUACAUUCGAAAACCUUCAACCAAGACAGAAAAGAUCUGAACCGCUUUCCUGUAACGCUUCCAGAAAGACGGAGCCCAUGAAGAGUAUCAGAUGUCUCAGUUCCGCUCGAGCAGAAAACCCUGAGUCAGUGACUUUACCUGAGAAACCCUCCAGAGAACAUAAUCAACUCUUCCUCGUUUUCCAGCACAAAUAUUCUUAAAUCAAGAUACAUUUAGAUGCACAACGACUUAAAUUUAUUAAGCCUUGUUUUCUGAAAAAUGUUCUUCAUAUGUUUGUUUUUCCUUUGAAAUACAGUAAGUUUGUUUUUCUGACUCCAUGGCAGAUGAAUUUUGAUUUUAAUUUUUUUUAGAAACAAAGACUUCAAAUCAAGUCAUUUCUCUUCACAAGUAAAUGUUUUGUAUUUAUUUAAGAAUGUUUAGAUAUUUGUGCUGGAAAACAAGACAA